CCUACGGGGGGCAGCAGUGAGGAAUAUUGGUCAAUGGCCGGAAGGCUGAACCAGCCAUGCCGCGUGAAGGUCAGUGCCCUAUGGGCGUUAAACUUCUUUUGUGCGGGAGCAAUAAUGGUCACGUGUGGCCAGACGAGAGUACCGUACGAAUAAGCAUCGGCUAACUCCGUGCCAGCAGCCGCGGUAAUACGGGGGAUGCAAGCGUUAUCCGGAUUUUGUGGGUUUAAAGGGUGCGUAGGCUGUGAGGUAAGUCAGCGGUGAAAUGCCCCCGCUCAACGGGGUGAAGUGCCAUUGAUACUGCCGUGCUGGAAUGCGGAUGCCGUGGGAGGAAUGUGUGGUGUAGCGGUGAAAUGCAUAGAUAUCACACAGAACACCGAUUGCGAAGGCAUUUCACGAAGCCGCGAUUGACGCUGAUGCACGAAAGCGUGGGUAUCAAACAGGAUUAGAUACCCCAGUAGUC
RNAcentral lists this ribosomal RNA (460 nucleotides) under uncultured bacterium. Its description in RNAcentral is "partial 16S ribosomal RNA". It matches the Rfam family "Bacterial small subunit ribosomal RNA", at positions 338 to 795 of the family's 1533-position model. The record is from RNAcentral.